AUUGAACGCUGGCGGCAGGCCUAACACAUGCAAGUCGAGCGGAUGAAGGGAGCUUGCUCCUGGAUUCAGCGGCGGACGGGUGAGUAAUGCCUAGGAAUCUGCCUGGUAGUGGGGGAUAACGUCCGGAAACGGGCGCUAAUACCGCAUACGUCCUGAGGGAGAAAGUGGGGGAUCUUCGGACCUCACGCUAUCAGAUGAGCCUAGGUCGGAUUAGCUAGUUGGUGGGGUAAAGGCCUGCCAAGGCGACGAUCCGUAACUGGUCUGAGAGGAUGAUCAGUCACACUGGAACUGAGACACGGUCCAGACUCCUACGGGAGGCAGCAGUGGGGAAUAUUGGACAAUGGGCGAAAGCCUGAUCCAGCCAUGCCGCGUGUGUGAAGAAGGUCUUCGGAUUGUAAAGCACUUUAAGUUGGGAGGAAGGGCAGUAAGUUAAUACCUUGCUGUUUUGACGUUAUCAACAGAAUAAGCACCGGCUAACUUCGUG
This 484-nucleotide ribosomal RNA is filed under the name uncultured bacterium. RNAcentral describes it as "partial 16S ribosomal RNA". It matches the Rfam family "Bacterial small subunit ribosomal RNA", at positions 30 to 507 of the family's 1533-position model. The record is from RNAcentral.